This 617-nucleotide long non-coding RNA is filed under the name Homo sapiens (human). RNAcentral describes it as "non-protein coding SP2-AS1:11". Lineage: Eukaryota; Metazoa; Chordata; Mammalia; Primates; Hominidae. The record is from RNAcentral.
GAAGAGUGCUUUUGUAUUGGUCGAGGUUGACCUUCCACCCACCUCUAACCCAGAGGAUGAAUGAUAGAUCUGCCCUGAAGCCAAUCAGAAGUCCUUAGGGUGAGGCCCACAAAUGCCCCAGAAAUAGCAUAUACAUUGCGCCCUAAGUCCAGUCUCGCCCAGGUGUGGCAGGAGCUUUUACCUGCUCUUCGGCAGUAGCCGGCUGCCACUCAACCCCAUGCCUGACUGAGCUGUGGUAGAAGGAUUGAGGCCAGCACAGAGGAGGAUCAGCAGGAAAUGUAAGGGUUGUCCUCAUCUAAUCCGUCAGUACCAGACAGUGAACAUCUCUCCCCCAGGAUGCUGAGGGAGGGUCCUGGAGGGAAGGAUGUGGAACUACAGCCUCUGCUCUCAAGAAGCUCAGAUCUGGGCAGGGAACAUCACAUACCAGGGCUGUCUGUCGGGGGGGUGGAGGGCUGGGGGAGGGAUAGCAUUAGGGGAAAUACCUAAUGUAAAUGACAAGUUGAUGGGUGCAGCAAACCAACAUGGCACAUGUAUACCUAUGUAACAAAUCUGCAUGUUGUGCACGUGUACCCUAGAACUUAAAGUAUAAUUAAAAAAAAAAAAAGCUUCAGAUCCCU